RNAcentral lists this small nucleolar RNA (129 nucleotides) under Rhinolophus ferrumequinum (greater horseshoe bat). The record is from RNAcentral. Lineage: Eukaryota; Metazoa; Chordata; Mammalia; Chiroptera; Rhinolophidae.
GUUGAGGUCUGUCCCAUAGGGCUUUUUCUGUAGACUCAAAUCAUUUGAAAUGCCUCAUUGAGAAACUCUGUUGAUGGCUUUACUCACAGAACUAUGUGUUAAAUCUGUGGAAUGAACUAGAAGGCAGAG